Molecule: ribosomal RNA, 459 nt
Filed under: uncultured bacterium
Lineage: Bacteria
Description: partial 16S ribosomal RNA
Rfam family: Bacterial small subunit ribosomal RNA
Source: RNAcentral
CCUACGGGAGGCAGCAGUGAGGAAUAUUGGUCAAUGGGCGCGAGCCUGAACCAGCCAAGUCGCGUGAGGGAAGAAUGUCCUAUGGAUUGUAAACCUCUUUUGUCGGGGAGCAAAAGACCCCACGCGUGGGGUUCCGAGAGUACCCGAAGAAAAAGCAUCGGCUAACUCCGUGCCAGCAGCCGCGGUAAUACGGAGGAUGCGAGCGUUAUCCGGAUUUAUUGGGUUUAAAGGGUGCGCAGGCGGGAUAUCAAGUCAGCGGUAAAAUCGAGAAGCUCAACUCCAUCGAGCCGUUGAAACUGGUGUUCUUGAGUGGGUGAGAAGUAUGCGGAAUGCGUGGUGUAGCGGUGAAAUGCAUAGAUAUCACGCAGAACUCCGAUUGCGAAGGCAGCAUACCGGCGCUCAACUGACGCUCAAGCACGAAAGUGUGGGUAUCGAACAGGAUUAGAUACCCCAGUAGUC